AGCCGCCGCGGUAAUACGAAGGGGGCUAGCGUUGUUCGGAUUUACUGGGCGUAAAGGGCGCGUAGGCGGGCGAAUCAGUCAGGGGUGAAAUCCCAAGGCUCAACCUUGGAACUGCCUUUGAUACUGUUUGUCUUGAGUUCGAGAGAGGUAAGUGGAACUGCGAGUGUAGAGGUGAAAUUCGUAGAUAUUCGCAAGAACACCAGUGGCGAAGGCGGCUUACUGGCUCGAAACUGACGCUGAGGCGCGAAAGCGUGGGGAGCAAACAGGAUUAGAUACCCCUGUAGUCCCUGUCUCUUAUACA
This 301-nucleotide ribosomal RNA is filed under the name uncultured bacterium. Its description in RNAcentral is "partial 16S ribosomal RNA". It matches the Rfam family "Bacterial small subunit ribosomal RNA", at positions 510 to 808 of the family's 1533-position model. The record is from RNAcentral.